This 509-nucleotide ribosomal RNA is filed under the name uncultured Acaulospora. RNAcentral's name for it is "SSU rRNA". It matches the Rfam family "Eukaryotic small subunit ribosomal RNA", at positions 569 to 1079 of the family's 1831-position model. The record is from RNAcentral. Lineage: Eukaryota; Fungi; Glomeromycota; Glomeromycetes; Diversisporales; Acaulosporaceae.
AGCAGCCGCGGUAAUUCCAGCUCCAAUAGCGUAUAUUAAAGUUGUUGCAGUUAAAAAGCUCGUAGUUGAAUUUCGGAGUUUGUCGGUUGGUCGGGCUUCACUGUCCGCACUGGCCUGAUGGAUUCCUACCUUCUGAAUAACCAGCAUGCUAUUAAUUUAGUGCGUUGGGGAAGCAGAGCUAUUACCUUGAAAAAUUAGGGUGCUUAAAGCAGGCUUACGCUUGAAUAGAUUAGCAUGGAAUAAUAAAAUAGGACGGCUUGGUUCUAUUUUGUUGGUUUCUAGGAUCACCGUAAUGAUUAAUAGGGAUAGUUGGGGGCAUUAGUAUUCAAUUGUCAGAGGUGAAAUUCUUGGAUUUAUUGAAGACUAACUUCUGCGAAAGCAUUUGCCAAGGAUGUUUUCAUUAAUCAAGAACGAAAGUUAGGGGAUCGAAGACGAUCAGAUACCGUCGUAGUCUUAACCAUAAACUAUGCCGACUAGGGAUCGGACGAUGUUAAUUUUUAAUGACUCGU